This is a non-coding RNA of Mycena maculata, 96 nucleotides long. Lineage: Eukaryota; Fungi; Basidiomycota; Agaricomycetes; Agaricales; Mycenaceae. The record is from the annotation of a GenBank genome assembly.
GACCCAAUGGCGAAAUGGUAUCACUUCCGCAAAAAUUAUCAGUACGAAUUAUGUGAUUUCUGUGGAAGUCCCCUGGUUCGAAUCCAGGUUGGGUCA